GCUAGGGCUGUGGCUCAGUGUACAGCUUCUGGUUGGAAUUCAGAAGGUCCCAGGUUUGAUCCCUGACCCUGGCA
This 74-nucleotide transfer RNA is filed under the name Sphaerodactylus townsendi. RNAcentral describes it as "tRNA-Ser". Lineage: Eukaryota; Metazoa; Chordata; Lepidosauria; Squamata; Sphaerodactylidae. The record is from RNAcentral.